Molecule: ribosomal RNA, 229 nt
Filed under: uncultured bacterium
Lineage: Bacteria
Description: partial 16S ribosomal RNA
Rfam family: Bacterial small subunit ribosomal RNA
Source: RNAcentral
UACGUAGGCGGAAAAUUAAGUCAGUAGUGAAAUCCUGCAGCUUAACUGUAGAACUGUUAUUGAUACUGGUUUUCUUGAAUAUAGUUGAGGUAGGCGGAAUGUGUAAUGUAGCGGUGAAAUGCUUAGAUAUUACACAGAACACCGAUUGCGAAGGCAGCUUACUAAGCUAUGAUUGACGCUGAGGUACGAAAGCGUGGGGAGCGAACAGUAUUAGAUACCCUGGUAGUCC